AUCACUAGAGAAAAAGCGCUAUUUAAAUAUAAUUGCCUUCACUUAAAUGUUAGAAUUUCAGUUCAUAACAUGGAAAAUAAAAACUACCGUAUUUCCUUGAAUUGCCGCAGAGCAUAUAGUAUUCGCCUGCCUUGAAUUACUGCCUGGUCAAACUCGUGACACUUCCCCUCAUUAUUUUAAAAAUGCAGGAGGCUGAUUUCAAUACCGGUAAUUUGAAAUCGCAUAAAGGGAAGAAGAUUAAGAGCCAUUCAGUAGGAUCUAAGGUCCAAGCUUACAUCACACUCAAAUUUUUACCGCAUGCCUUUGGUAAGUGCCGGAGUGAGAAGAGGUUUUAAAAUAAUUAGCGCCUGCUUACUUUUACCGCAUGCCUUUGGUAAGCGCAGGAGUGAGAAGAGGUUUGAAAUUAAUUAGCGCCCCGGCGGGCAAUUGAAGGAAAUACGGUACUUUUAAAAGAUGCGUCUUUUUAUUUUUUCAAUUGCCAAACAUGUAAAGCAGUCUUUUUACACCUGCUUGAUAAUACCUUAAAAAAAAAAAAAAGGAAUUACAUUUAAAACCUGCAUCCGUACUCCCAUUUUGAAAAUAGAAAUAUUGCCUCGGACGUAUUUUGUAAACGAUGUCAUACAUGCUAGCUUAUUAGGCCUGGCAAAGGUGACAUUGCCGUAGUGCCCUCGAGCAAGCGUUCCAUUCUUAGACAUGAAAAGCGGACAAUAUGACGGCGUUUCUAUCGUUGAGCAUAUUGCGGUAAUCACGUGAAGUGUCAAAAAUCGUGACUUACAAAUAUUGUUUGUGUCAGUAGAGAAUAUAGAAAACUGUGAUAUCCCAGCAGCCCUGAAUGAGCCACAAACAAGUCAGGUGAUGCCAUACUUGCCAACCUUGAGACCUCCGAUUUCGGAAGGUGGGGGCGGGGCGUGGUUAAGAGGGGAGGAGUGUGUAUAUAUAUAUAUAUAUAUAUAUAUAUAAAGAAAUACUUGAAUUUAUUGUUCAUUUAUUUACACAUAUCCACACACAUAACACUCAUCUACUCAUUGGAAAGGGUUGAAUUGUCCAUCCUUGUUCUAUUCUCUGUCAUUAUUUUUCUAACCAUAUGCAUGUACAGUAAAUGGCAGUAUUGUCCUUUUUUUUAAGAGUGUCACAACAUUGCUGUUUACGGCGGACAAACUACAUUACGGCAUGGCGUAGUGGGUAGAGCGGCCGUGCCGGAAACCUGAGGGUUGCAGGUUCGCUUCCCACCUAUUGACAUCCAAAUCCCUCCUUGGGCAGGACACUUCACCCUUUGCCCCCGGUGCCGCUCACACCGGUGAAUGAGUGAUGAAUGAAUGUUUGGUGGUGGUCGGAGGGGCAGCCACGGUUCCGUCAGUCUACCCCAGGGCAGCUGUGGCUACAGAUGUAGCUUACCACCACCAGGUGUGAAUGAAUGAUGGGUUCCCACUUCUCUGUGAGCGCUUUGAGUGUCUAACAAUAGAAAAGCGCGAUAUAAAUCAAGGUAGAUGAAAACGUGACUGCUGUUGUUGUGUGUUGUUACCGCACUGGGAGGACGUUAAUGAAACUGCCUAACAAUAAACCCACAUAAGAAACCUAAGAACUCGCCCUCAAUCAUUCUACAGUGAUAACGUCAUUGGGCAGACACGCUAUUUAUAUUGUGGGAAAGCGGACGUGAAAACAGAUUGUCCGCAUGGAGCUGGAGGGGGCGUGGCCUUAAGCUCCGCCUGAAUUUCGGGGGAAAAUUUGUCCCGGGGGGUUUUCGGGUGAGGCGCUGUAUUUAGGGAGUUUCCCGGAACAUCCGGGAGGGUUGAUGCUCACCUUUCAACGGGUAUUCUUCUGUUAGCUGUAAAACUCAUCACUUCCUGUUGGGGUGAGGAAAUGUUAGACCUUUAUUUAUAACAUGUUGGACAAGAUUUAGGCCACGUUUUGAGAUGAUUACACAAAAUCACACAUUAUUCUCCCAAGUUGUUGUUGUUUUUUAAACAGAGUUUGAGGCAAUACAAACCGGAGAACAUUCUUAUGUAAAAGUUUGGAACAAUAUUUCCAUUGUUUUAGAGGCAAGAAAAGACAAUAAAUAAUGUUAAAUACAGCUUCCGAGGUGCUUAUGAGCGCGUGCGCCGUUACGACUUCAUCCGUGUCUUGGCCACAUCUUGAUGUUUGCAGGUUGAGGAACAAAAAAAAAAAAAGAAGGAAAAUGAAUGUUGAAAGUAGAAAAGUAGUCCCUCUGCUUUCUAGGAGGACAUGACAGCCCGUGUGAUGCUUCAACCACUAGACCCUUCAUGAGGUAUCCAACUUCAAACCAAAUUGACAAAAAAAAAAAAAAAAAAAGGCUUUUGUAGCGAAAUUAAGAGUUUUCUUGUUAAUGGACUCGGAAACAACACAUCGCAGCAGCUGUCCGCCUUGAAGGAGGUCCGCCAGACAGCACCAGCACAGCAAUGAGGACCCAGUCUUGAUGUCCGGUCAGUUCUUAAGUGUCUUUUCCCACUUCCCCGUGUUCCUCUUUCCAGUCGCCGGGCGCGUGCCCGAGGUGGAUCAGUUGCUGUUGCAGCACGACUGGAAGGAGUAGUACGAGGGUUUCUGCUGGCCCAAGUUGACGCUCGUUUCUUCGGCUGAAACACACAACAGUCCUACGUAAUAAACACAUCCCUGUUAAUGGACUAAUUAAGACAGUGUUUUUCAACCUUUUUUGAGCCGAGGCUCAUUUAGUGGCCUAGUGCAGUGUUUCCCACAGGUCAGGCAUCUAUUUGUGGUGGUGUGGUCAAGCGGCAAGGGGACGGCGGCGAUGACCAAGAAGAACGCGGAGUUGGAAUAUAAUUACAACACUUUAUGUACGUAUUUAUAUAACAUGUAACUACAUAAUAUGCGGCGUCUUCAGUAUUGCGGACGUUGUAUCGAUCCGUUGUGGUGAAGAAGGAGCUGAGCCGGAAGGCAAAGCUCUCAAUUUACCGGUCGAUCUACGUUCCCAUCCUCACCUAUGGUCAUGAGCUUUGGGUCAUGACCGAAAGGAUAAGAUCACGGGUACAAGCGGCCGAAAUGAGUUUGGGGCUCUCCCUUAGAGAUAGGGUGAGAAGCUCUGCCAUCCGGGAGGAACUCAAAGUAAAGCCGCUGCUCCUCCACAUCAAGAGGAGCCAGAUGAGGUGGUUCGGGCAUCUGGUCAGGAUGCCACCCGAACGCCUCCCUAGGGAGGUGUUUAGGGCACGUCCAACCGGUAGGAGGCCACGGGGAAGACCCAGGACACGUUGGAAAGACUAUGUCUCCCGGCUGGCCUGGGAACGCCUCGGGAUCCCCCGGGAAGAGCUAGACGAAGUGGCUGGGGAGAGGGAAGUCUGGGCUUCCCUGCUUAGGCUGUUGCCCCCGCGACCCGACCUCGGAUAAGCGGAAGAUGAUGGAUGUAUGGAUGUAACUACAAGCUCCAUUCACAGACAGAGUCCCAUUGCUUUUGUGAAUUAUAUUUAUAUAGCGCUUUUCUCUAGUGACUCAAAGCACUUUACAAAGUGACACCCAAUAUCUAAGUUACAUUUAAACCUGUGUGGGUGGCACUGGGAGCAGGUGGGUAAAGUGUCUUGCCCAAGGACACAACGGCAGUGACUAGGAUGGCGGAAGCGGGAAUCGAACCUGCAACCCUCAAGUUGCUGGCACGGCCACUCUACCAACCGAGCUAUACCGCGGUCAAGCGAGUCAAAAGCUAAAAAUAAAAUUAAAAAAAUCCCUUUUAUGUAGCUAUUAGGGUUAAAUAAAAUAAUAAAUGGGUUGUACUUGUAUAGCGCUUUUCUACCUUCAAGGUACUCAAAGCGCUUUGACACUACUUCCACAUUCACCCAUUCACACACUGAUGGAGGGAGCUGCCAUGCAAGGCGCCAACCAGCACCCAUCAGGAGCAAGGGUGAAGUGUCUUGCUCAGGACACAACGGACGUGACGAGGUUGGUACUAGGUGGGAUUUGAACCAGGGACCCUCGGGUUGCGCACGGCCACUCUCCCCACUGCGCCACGCCGUCGCCUUCAAACAGUGGAAGAUUCGAUUCAAAGGGGGUUAAAUCAUUGUGUCUUCUCAAAAUAUUUAUAAAAGGAUCUUGUGUUUUUAGAAAGUGAGAGAUCAUUCUCAUCUGAUUACAACUUUGACUGUCACGAAAGAGCAAUUGCUGACUGAAGCCCACUGGAAAUGGAACCAGACUUCUUUUGUAAAGGUAACGAUCCUUGUACUGGUUGGCAUACAUAAACGUUUUAAGAAUUUUACUUUAUCUAAAAACUAGUUGGGAAAUUGUGUUAGAUGUAAAUAUAAACAGAAUACAAUGAUUUGCAAAUCAUUUUCAACCCAUAUUCAGUUGAAUAUGCUACAAAGACAACAUAUUUGAUGUUCAAACUGAUAAACAUUUUUUUGUGUGUGCAAAUCAUUAAAAAAGUUGGGAACGGUGGCAAUAAAUACUGAUAAAGUUGAGGAAUGCUCAUCAAACACUUAUUUGGAACAUCCCACAGGUGUGCGGGCUAAUUGGGAACAGGUGGGUGCCAUGAUUUUAUAUAAAAACAUUCCACUUUCAAAGCUUCAACAAAUAGUUUACUCAGUUCCCAAAUGUUUAUUGAGUGUUGAUGUAACACAGUGGUGAACAUGCCCUUUCCCAACUACUUUAGCACGUGUUGCAGCCAUGAAAUUCUAAGUUAAUUAGUAUUUGCACACAAAAAAAUUAAGUUUGAGUGUUCUGUUACAACUAAAAGUUGUCAACCAGGGGUAGGGAACCUAUGGCUCUAGAGCCAGAUGUGGGUCUUUUGAAGACUGCAUCUGGCUCUCUGAUAAAUCUUAGCUGACAAUGCUUAACGCGAUAAUUAUGAAUAAUUUCGCUGGUAAUCACAGUGCUAAAAAUAACGUGCAAAAUAUAAAACAUUCUCAUGCAUUUAAAUCCAUCCAUCCGUUUCCUACCGCACCUGUUCAAGAAGUCGCAUUAAUGGUAAGAAGUAUUUUAUGUCACGAUGCGGGGGUCGCAGCUUGCUGCAGGGUCGUUCCCCCAGGAAGGCAGACGGACUACUCGGGACAUGGCAUUUAGGUAAAAACAUGAUUUAAUUUAAACUAAAAAAAGAUACAAACAAAAAUCGCUCACAGCGGAGGCACAACUUGGGCUAAGGAACAAAGCUAACGCAUAAACAGAAUAAGAACAUAAAUCAAACAAAACUUACUUGGCAUGGCAUGAAGCACGAAACUAUGGCAAGGCAUGAAACAAGUCAGCACAGGGCGACUGACUGGCAAAGACGAGCUUAAAUACUGCCUCUGAUUAGUGCUCGGGAAGCAGGUGAGCGGGCAGUUUGUCCACCAGAGACAGGUGGACAAAAUGAGUAACCAAGGAAACCAGACAAGGGAGUGGAAAAAAACAGGAACUUAAAGAGUCCAAAGGACAAACAGCACAUGGCCAAACAAAAACAUGAUCAACAUUAUUGGUUAGCUUCAGAAUAACAAUGUUAUUAAAAAGAAUAAGAGACUUAUUAUACUCUAGAAAUGUUGGUCUUACUUAAAAAUGCACGCAUUUAGUUGUAUUCAGUGUUAAACAAUAUUAUAUGGCUCUCACGGAAAUACAUUUUGAAAUAUUUGGCUUUCAUGGCUCUCUCAGCCAAAAAGGUUCCCGACCCCUGUUGUAAAAUCUUGUUUUUUGAAGUGUGUUGUGCUUCUUACAUAUAACAUUAUUACGUGUGUAUUUGUGGCCAUCUUGUGGUCAUGGCAGUUACUACAUCGUUGAGAAGCGUGCAUUUUGAAUCAAACUUUAUAGACCGGAAGUUGCCUAAGACAAGAGAAAUCUACGAUGCCAUCACGUACUUUAUGGUGGUUAUUUUUCGAAGAAAUAACUGCAUAUAUCUUUUGUUUAAGGUUGCAUUGCCGUUUCACCCUUUUGAAUGUCAAUGAACCUGCUGACAAGGCUCACCGGUCUUCAGAGUCGUGGCAUAAGAAAGUGGUUCUUAACUUGGGUUCCAUAGGGGUUCGGUGAGUCGGCCUCAGGCCGGAGGUCAAAACACACUCGACUCAUCGUAUAAAUACAAACUUCUCCCUAUUACGGGUACGGCAACAUCUGACUGAUUUGCAGGUGUCGUAGAUUUGAUGCAAUCAGUGACAAUUGACAAGAUUAACAGUCAGGAAAAUAAAGGAAACGCAUUGAAAUGAGAAGGUGAGUCCAACCUUUUGUUGAUCUGAUCACUGACCGUAUAGGUAAGAGCUUUUACAGGCAAAACAAAUUGCAUGAUUAAUCAAAGCGUGUACAUGAUUAGUGUGUUUUGUUGUGAUUAAUCACAUGAGUUAACGCGUUUAUUUUGACUGUCAUCUCUUAUAAUAAUAAUAAAAAUAAUAAUCCUUGUUGUUUUAAGUUUUUGAUUUACAAUUGUUGUCAUCCUUAUAUUUCCCGAUUGAUUAGUGUAGUACUUGGAAUUAAUUAAACUUUCAAUAUAGACUUAGACACAGUAACUCAGUUAGAAAGGAUGGAAAGUGUAACGAUAGAAAGGAUAAUGCAAGUAAAAAGUAGACUAAAAAUGUACCAUAGUAGCAAUAUAAAAUAUAACAUAUAGACUUAGACCGGGGGCCGGUAUAUCUAUUUUUAGAAAAACUAAUUCAAAAACUCACGAUAAAGUCGGAUUGAUUUCUAAAAAUGUUAUGACAGACCGUCUUAAAAACGGAAUGGAAUUGUAUUUUUUUUCCUAUGAACGAUAAAACCCAGAAUAUUGAGAACAUAUGAACGUCACACCCCCUCUCCAUCCACAUAUUUUACAAUCAAGCAAAAUGCAACAAACAGCGAAAUAUGAACGCGAAGGGUCUGACCUGCUGUGACGUAGAUUACCAUAGUAACUAGUAGGUCAAUACUAAUGAAUCAUAUUCGGUACCAUACCGCCUCUGACAAGUACCAGUCCGCCACACUCUAAGAUUUUUUUGUUAAAAUAAAGCCAAUAAUGCAAUUUCUUCUGGUCCCCUUUAUUUAGAAAAGUAUCAAAAAGUACCAAAAAGUAUCAAAAUAAUAUUGGUAUCAGAACACUAGUCACUAAAAUAUUCCAACCAUUGAAAUACUUUGUAUAGACAUCACUGCACAACAUAAUGGCAGCUACACUUUCCAUCUUAAAGAUCUAAAAAAGUUAUAUGGGAACGACCGGCGGGCCAGAUUGAAAAGCUUAACGCAGGGGUCCUCAACCUUUUUUCAGUGAUGUACCCCCUUUUUUAAUUCAAGUACCCCCUAGUCAGAGCAAAGCAUUUUUGGUUGGAAAAAAAGAGAUAAAGAAGUAAAAUACAGCACUAUGUCAUCAGUUUCUGAUUUAUUAAAUUGUAUAACAGUGCUAAAUAUUGCUCGUUUGUAGUGGUCUUUGUUGAACUAUUUGGAAAAAAAGAUAUAAAAACAACUAAAAACUUGUUGAAAAAUAAACAAGUGAUUCAAUUACAAAUAAAUAUUUCUACACAUAGAAGUAAUCAUCAACUUAAAGUGCCCUCUUUGGGGAUUGUAAUAAAGAUCCAUCUGGGUUCAUGAACAUAAUUCUAAACAUUUCUUCACAAAAAAGAAAUCUUUAACAUCAAUAUUUAUGGAACAUGUCCACAAAAAAUGUAGCUGUCAACACUGAAUAUUGCAUUGUUGCAUUUCUUUUCGCAGUUUAUGAACUUAUAUUCAUAUUUUGUUGAAGUAUUAAUCAAUAAAUAUAUUUAUAAAGGAUUUUUGAAUUGUUGCUAUUUUUAGAAUAUUUUUUUUAAAAUGUCACGUACCCCUUGGCAUACAUUCGAGUACCCCCAGGGGUACGCGUACCCCCAUUUGAGAACCACUGACUUAACGGGAUUUAAUUUGUUCAGUUCUGAUGUAUACUGCUAUAUCAUAUUCUUAUAUCAUAAAUAAUAAAUACCAUGUGCAAUAUUACAGUAGAUGUAACAGCUGGAGCAUAAAAUAGAGAUUAGAUCCAGCAGAAAAUAGACAUUAUAAACAAAGAGAGGUAGCUAACUUUCAUAACAUGAUGGAAAAAAAAAUUUUCUGUCUUAGUUUGUUACCAACAUUUUUGAAAAGGAAAGUUAUGGCAUUUUGAAAGUCGCAUUCAACAAAAAGGUCACAGCUAAAAUUGACUUAAUGUCAAGGACUUGACCAGAAAUUCGUGCAUUUUUACCGGUUUUAACUUUCUGAAUACUUAUCACAGGGACAUUGUGCUUAUCUCACUAGAAUUGUCUUUACGAGACCUGUCUGAUAAUACCGGUUCUAAUGUUGAUUUACAUGAUCAACAACGGUUUUGUCCAAAUUAAAUGAAACUAGAAAAACAGGCAAUAAAGAAACGAUGGCGGCGACGCUUACCUAGCAGCUAGCUGGAAAUAUUGACCAGCAUCCAAGUCACUCCACAAUAACGGCGGCAAGCAGCAAUAAAAUGGGACGGCAACACCGGCGUCUACUUGGAGUCUUUACCGGGCUGAAGGUGCCAGAAAGCCGCUUGUCAUCUUCACCCAGCCUCGCUGGCUAAUAAAAGGAGCUGCGGUUCGUCAGCGUGUUGCGCAAUGGCCAGAGGGAAAUGUCACUCUAAACGUCGUCACGGGGAAAAAUAUCAUGAAAAUAGCUCGAACGUUGUAAAUACUGUUAAUUAAUUAAUUGUGUUUUAAAAAAAUUAAAUAAAAAUGACUACGACGUGCAUGAAGUUGAAAUGUGUGUUUUUAUGUGAGCGGGUGGGUAGGAACUAAAUACGACAUUUUGUUUCUGGGCGCAGGAAGUGAUUGAAUUGAUUGUGGUAUUUACCGGAAGUCUCCAUUGAUUCGAUCAGAGCUGUGAUUUAAUCAUUUCAUAAAGUUAGAAAAAAAUGCUGAUGUAUUUUUUUUUAAUCAGUCAAUUAUUAUUUUCGUUGAAUGGUAAUUUAAAAAAUACCAACAAUUACCAACAUUGUUGAUACAAAUUAUUAGGGGUGUGGGAAAAAAUCGAUUCUCAUUUUUUUUUUAAAAUCUUUGUUUUUGUCAUUUAAAUUAUUAUUAUUAUUAAUAUUUUGUUAUCAAUCCAACAAACCACUACACAGCAAUACCAUAACAAUGCAAUCCAAUUCCAAAACCAAACCUGACCCAGCAACACUCAGAACUGCAAUAAACAGAGCACUUGAGAGGAGACACAAACAUCAAAAGUAGUGAAACCAAAAUGAAUAUUAUCAACAACAGUAUCAAUAUUAGUUAUAAUUUCAGCAUAGCAGUGAUUAAAAAUCCCUCAUUGACAGUCUCAUCUUAAAACUCAUCUGUAUACUCUAGCCUUUAAAUAGACCUCCUUUUUAGACCAGUUGAUCUGCCGCUUCUUUUCUUUCUCCUAUGUCCCCCCCUCCCUUGUGGAGGGGGUCCGGUCCGAUGACCAUGGAUGAAGUACUGACUGUCCAGAGUCGAGACCCAGGAUGGACCGCUCGUCGGGACCCAGGAUGGACCGCUCGCCUGUAUCGGUUGGGGACAUCUCUACGCUGCUGAUCCGCUUGAGAUGGUUUCCUGUGGACGGGACUCUCACUGCUGUCUUGGAGCCACUAUGUAUUGAACUUUCACAGUAUCAUGUUAGACCCGCUCGACAUCCAUUGCUUUCGGUCCCCUAGAGGGGGGGGGGUUGCCCACAUCUGAGGUCCUCUCCAAGGUUUCUCAUAGUCAGCAUUGUCACUGGCGUCCCACUGAAUGUGAAUUCUCCCUGCCCACUGGGUGUGAGUUUUCCUUGCCCUUUUGUGGGUUCUUCCGAGGAUGUUGUAGUCGUAAUGAUUUGUGCAGUCCUUUGAGACAUUUGUGAUUUGGGGCUAUAUAAAUAAACAUUGAUUGAUUAUCAUUAGACAUUUAUAAAAAUGAAAAAAAGAACAAUAGUGUCACAGUGGCUCACACUUGCUUCGCAUCAUGUUUUCACAAAGAUAAAAUAAGUCAUAUUUAUGGUUUGUUUAAUAGUUAAAACAAAAUUACAUUAUUGCAAUCAGUCGAAAAAACAUUGUCCUCUACAAUUAUAAAAGCUUUUUCUUUUUUAAAUCUACUACUCUGCUAGCAUGUCAGCAGACUGGGGUAGAUCCUGCUGAAAUCCUAUGUAUUGAAUGAAUAAAGAAUCGGAAAAAUAUCGUUUUUGAAUCGAGAAUCGCGUUGAAUCGAAAAAAAUCGAUAUAUAAUGGAAUCGCGACCCCAAGAAUCGAUAUUGAAUCGAAUCGUGGGACACCCAAAGAUUCGCAGCCCUACAAAUUAUUGUUACAGUGUAAUAAUUAUUGUUACUUGUGGUAAUACCACUAUGAUACAACAUUUGUAUUAUAAUCCUUAAACAAAGUAAAAGGGAAACUCAUGGGAAUAAUAACUUAAUGGAGAACUGGGGGUGGGAUUAAAUAAAUGAUCUUCUUCCCACUCCCUUUCAGGCAAAAUUGGACAAUCAUGCGUUACACACUAUACAUUACCUUUUGCACUAUAUUAAUUUAUAUUAUUAUGUGUUGUCAACUUUGUACUUUUUUUUUAGUAUUAUUAUUUUAUGUGAUU
Nerophis ophidion (straightnose pipefish) is the source of this 10418-nucleotide long non-coding RNA. RefSeq lists it as uncharacterized. The record is from RefSeq and is a predicted model, not a curated record. NCBI's taxonomy places the organism in Eukaryota, Metazoa, Chordata, Actinopteri, Syngnathiformes, Syngnathidae. The transcript has 4 exons.